RNAcentral lists this ribosomal RNA (230 nucleotides) under uncultured bacterium. Its description in RNAcentral is "partial 16S ribosomal RNA". It matches the Rfam family "Bacterial small subunit ribosomal RNA", at positions 15 to 228 of the family's 1533-position model. The record is from RNAcentral.
GAUCCUGGCUCAGGACGAACGCUGGCGGCGUGCUUAACACAUGCAAGUCGAACGAGAAUCUACGGAUCGAGGAUUCGUCCAAGUGAAGUAGAGGACAGUGGCGGACGGGUGAGUAACGCGUGAGGAACCUGCCUUUCAGAGGGGGACAAAAGUUGGAAACGACUGCUAAUACCGCACGACACAUUGGGGUCGCAUGGCCCUGAUGUCAAAGAUUUAUCGCUGAAAGAUGG